Molecule: small nucleolar RNA, 133 nt
Organism: Apodemus sylvaticus (European woodmouse)
Lineage: Eukaryota; Metazoa; Chordata; Mammalia; Rodentia; Muridae
Product: small nucleolar RNA SNORA17
Exons: 1
Source: RefSeq, a predicted model, not a curated record
GAUGCCCCUAGAGGCAUUACAGGCUUGGCUGCUGUGUCACACGGACGUCAGUAGGUGGCAGAGAGGAGAGGCUAUGUCUAUGCUCAGCGUUCUGACCUAUGGACAUCUGAAGGAUUAGUAGUAGCUUAACAGU